RNAcentral lists this ribosomal RNA (301 nucleotides) under uncultured bacterium. RNAcentral describes it as "partial 16S ribosomal RNA". It matches the Rfam family "Bacterial small subunit ribosomal RNA", at positions 509 to 809 of the family's 1533-position model. The record is from RNAcentral.
CAGUCGCCACGGGAAUACGAAGGGGGCUAGCGUUGCUCGGAAUUACUGGGCGUAAAGGGCGCGUAGGCGGACAGUUUAGUCGGGGGUGAAAGCCCGGGGCUCAACCUCGGAAUUGCCUUCGAUACUGGCUGUCUUGAGUGUGAGAGAGGUGUGUGGAACUCCGAGUGUAGAGGUGAAAUUCGUAGAUAUUCGGAAGAACACCAGUGGCGAAGGCGACACACUGGCUCACUACUGACGCUGAGGCGCGAAAGCGUGGGGAGCAAACAGGAUUAGAUACCCCGGUAGUCCCUGUCUCUUAUCA